UGCUUUGGGAACUCAACUAAGUGAAAGUU
This 29-nucleotide non-coding RNA is filed under the name Rattus norvegicus (Norway rat). The record is from RNAcentral. Lineage: Eukaryota; Metazoa; Chordata; Mammalia; Rodentia; Muridae.